Molecule: ribosomal RNA, 301 nt
Filed under: uncultured bacterium
Lineage: Bacteria
Description: partial 16S ribosomal RNA
Rfam family: Bacterial small subunit ribosomal RNA
Source: RNAcentral
CAGCCGCCGCGGUAAAACGUAGGGUGCGAGCGUUAAUCGGAAUUACUGGGCGUAAAGCGUGCGCAGGCGGUUUGUUAAGACAGAUGUGAAAUCCCCGGGCUCAACCUGGGAACUGCAUUUGUGACUGGCAAGCUAGAGUAUGGCGGAGGGGGGUGGAAUUCCGCGUGUAGCAGUGAAAUGCGUAGAUAUGCGGAGGAACACCGAUGGCGAAAGCAGCCCCCUGGGCCAAUACUGACGCUCAUGCACGAAAGCGUGGGGAGCAAACAGGAUUAGAUACCCCCGUAGUCCCUGUCUCUUAUAA